GACGAACGCUGGCGGCGUGCUUAACACAUGCAAGUCGAACGGUGAAGCGCCUUCCUUUUUGGUCGGUGUGGAUGGGUGGCGAACGGGUGAGUAACACGUGAGCAACCUGCCCCCUUCUUCUGGAUAACCGCAUGAAAGUGCGGCUAACACGGGAUAUUCUGUGUCUGUUGCAUGAUGGGUCUGGGAAAGAUAUUGUUUCGGUGGGGGAUGGGCUCGCGGCCUAUCAGCUUGUUGGUGGGGUGAUGGACUACCAGGGCGGCGAAGGGUGGCCGGCCUGAGAGGGUAGACGGCAAUAGAGGGACUCGGACACGGCCAAGACUGCUAAGGGAGGCAGCGGUGGGGGAGAUAGCACGAGGGGUGGAAGUGUGAAGCAGCGGAGCCGCGUGAGGGAUGGAGGCCUUCGGGUUGUAAACCUCUUUCGGCAGAGAAGCAGGGCUGCUUCGUUUAUGGGUGGGUUGACGGUAGCUGGUUAAGAAGCGACGGCUAACUACGUG
Molecule: ribosomal RNA, 494 nt
Filed under: uncultured bacterium
Lineage: Bacteria
Description: partial 16S ribosomal RNA
Rfam family: Bacterial small subunit ribosomal RNA
Source: RNAcentral